GCUGGGUGUGGUGGCGCAUGCCUGUACUCCCAGCAGCUUGGGAGGCUGAGGCAGGAGGAUCAUAAGUUCAAAGCCAGCCUUGG
This 83-nucleotide small RNA is filed under the name Marmota monax (woodchuck). Lineage: Eukaryota; Metazoa; Chordata; Mammalia; Rodentia; Sciuridae. The record is from RNAcentral.